GACGAACGCUGGCGGCGUGCUUAACACAUGCAAGUCGAACGGAAAGGCCCUGCUUUUGUGGGGUGCUCGAGUGGCGAACGGGUGAGUAACACGUGAGUAACCUGCCCUUGACUUUGGGAUAACUUCAGGAAACUGGGGCUAAUACCCGAUAGGAGCUCCUGCUGCAUGGUGGGGGUUGGAAAGUUUCGGCGGUUGGGGAUGGACUCGCGGCUUAUCAGCUUGUGGGUGGGGUAGUGGCUUACCAAGGCUUUGACGGGUAGCCGGCCGGAGAGGGUGGCCGGCCACAUUGGGACUGAGGUAGGGCGCAGACUCAGACGGGAGGCAGAAGCGGGGAAUAUUGCACAAGGGGCGCAAGCCUGAUGCAGCGACGCCGCGUGGGGGAUGACGGCCGUCGGGUGGUAAACUCCUGUCGUUAGGGACGAAGCCACGCUUUUUGGGUGUGGGGACGGUACCUUUGUUAAGAAGCACGGGCUAACUACGUG
This 482-nucleotide ribosomal RNA is filed under the name uncultured bacterium. Its description in RNAcentral is "partial 16S ribosomal RNA". It matches the Rfam family "Bacterial small subunit ribosomal RNA", at positions 28 to 507 of the family's 1533-position model. The record is from RNAcentral.